RNAcentral lists this ribosomal RNA (420 nucleotides) under uncultured Variovorax sp. RNAcentral's name for it is "bacterial SSU rRNA". It matches the Rfam family "Bacterial small subunit ribosomal RNA", at positions 328 to 739 of the family's 1533-position model. Lineage: Bacteria; Pseudomonadati; Pseudomonadota; Betaproteobacteria; Burkholderiales; Comamonadaceae. The record is from RNAcentral.
UGCAGCGGUUCCUACGGGAGGCAGCAGUGGGGAAUUUUGGACAAUGGGCGCAAGCCUGAUCCAGACAUGCCGCGUGCAGGAUGAAGGCCUUCGGGUUGUAAACUGCUUUUGUACGGAACGAAACGGCCUUUUCUAAUAAAGAGGGCUAAUGACGGUACCGUAAGAAUAAGCACCGGCUAAUUACGUGCCAGCAGCCGCGGUAAUACGUAGGGUGCAAGCGUUAAUCGGAAUUACUGGGCGUAAAGCGUGCGCAGGCGGUAAUGUAAGACAGUUGUGAAAUCCCCGGGCUCAACCUGGGAACUGCAUCUGUGACUGCAUUGCUGGAGUACGGCAGAGGGGGAUGGAAUUCCGCGUGUAGCAGUGAAAUGCGUAGAUAUGGGGAGAAAAAAAGAGGAGGAAGAGAAUCCCCGGGGCCUGUAG